Molecule: ribosomal RNA, 750 nt
Filed under: uncultured crenarchaeote
Lineage: Archaea; Thermoproteati; Thermoproteota
Description: bacterial SSU rRNA
Rfam family: Archaeal small subunit ribosomal RNA (bases 1-554)
Source: RNAcentral
CUCAAGUGGUCAGGAUGAUUAUUGGGCCUAAAGCAUCCGUAGCCGGCUCUGUAAGUUUUCGGUUAAAUCUGUACGCUUAACGUACAGGCUGCCGGGAAUACUGCARAGCUAGGGAGUGGGAGAGGUAGACGGUACUCGGUAGGAAGUGGUAAAAUGCUUUGAUCUAUYGAUGACCACCUGUGGCGAAGGCGGUCUACCAGAACACGUCCGACGGUGAGGGAUGAAAGCUGGGGGAGCAAACCGGAUUAGAUACCCGGGUAGUCCCAGCUGUAAACUAUGCAAACUCAGUGAUGCAUUGGCUUGUGGCCAAUGCAGUGCUGCAGGGAAGCCGUUAAGUUUGCCGCCUGGGAAGUACGUACGCAAGUAUGAAACUUACUCAAGUGGUCAGGAUGAUUAUUGGGCCUAAAGCAUCCGUAGCCGGCUCUGUAAGUUUUCGGUUAAAUCUGUACGCUUAACGUACAGGCUGCCGGGAAUACUGCARAGCUAGGGAGUGGGAGAGGUAGACGGUACUCGGUAGGAAGUGGUAAAAUGCUUUGAUCUAUYGAUGACCACCUGUGGCGAAGGCGGUCUACCAGAACACGUCCGACGGUGAGGGAUGAAAGCUGGGGGAGCAAACCGGAUUAGAUACCCGGGUAGUCCCAGCUGUAAACUAUGCAAACUCAGUGAUGCAUUGGCUUGUGGCCAAUGCAGUGCUGCAGGGAAGCCGUUAAGUUUGCCGCCUGGGAAGUACGUACGCAAGUAUGAAACUUA